UGGGGAAUAUUGGGCAAUGGGCGCAAGCCUGACCCAGCAACGCCGCGUGAAGGAAGAAGGCUUUCGGGUUGUAAACUUCUUUUAUCAGGGACGAAACAAAUGACGGUACCUGAUGAAUAAGCCACGGCUAACUACGUGCCAGCAGCCGCGGUAAUACGUAGGUGGCGAGCGUUAUCCGGAUUUACUGGGUGUAAAGGGCGUGUAGGCGGGACUGCAAGUCAGAUGUGAAAACUAUGGGCUCAACCCAUAGCCUGCAUUUGAAACUGUAGUUCUUGAGUGUUGGAGAGGCAAGCGGAAUUCCGUGCGUAGCGGUGAAAUGCGUAGAUAUACGGAGGAACACCAGUGGCGAAGGCGGCUUGCUGGACAAUAACUGACGCUGAGGCGCGAAAGCGUGGGGAGCAAACAGGAUUAGAUACC
RNAcentral lists this ribosomal RNA (417 nucleotides) under uncultured bacterium. Its description in RNAcentral is "bacterial SSU rRNA". It matches the Rfam family "Bacterial small subunit ribosomal RNA", at positions 355 to 786 of the family's 1533-position model. The record is from RNAcentral.